UGCAAAUUUAUAUAAUAUUAAAGAUAAAGGUUAGUGGCUUUUGCCACCUAUCCGUUCUCUCUUAAUAAUGUCGUUAGAAGUCUGUUUGCAAAAGAGUAAUCAUGUGUUCUUCACAUCAGAGAAAGAAAGACCCUAAUCCAAUUCCACUGUAUCCCUCGACGUCCUCUGCAUCCUUUCUCUGCGUUUUGAAACGUCGAUCCCUUCAAUUUCGGUUCUGGCGAACCCUACAUUGGAAUCCACGUUUGAUGCUUGUCGUCUGAAAUUAGGGCUCUGACACGUAUGUUUCUAGUGCGUGUACGGUGACGGUGGUGGUUUUUGUGGAUUAAAAAGUUACGGCGGCUAAGGUUUUCGCUGUUUUUGUUAUCCCUCAUGUGCUCUUUCUCUCUCUCUCUCUCUUCCGCGAAAUAUUUGCCCCUAUCAUCAUCAGUCAUUUGUCGGGUUCGAUUACGGAACCCUUGGUGGCGAUGGACGUGGUCGCUGUUAAAGCUGGGGUGUAGUGGCGGUGGUUAGUGAUGGUUGCUAAAGAGGUUACGACUUUCAUCACCUUGAAGAAGAUGGCACUCUCUGUUUUCUUGCUUCAAAAUCCGGCUACGAUUGUGUUGUUGUCUUAUCUGCCUAAAUAGUAGAUGAAAUUCAAGCAGAAAUGGAGACCAAAGCAACCAUGGUGCAAUGCCGAGUGGGCCUGCGAAGUUGGCAGAUUUCAUGGAAGAAGAAAGUUGCAAAGAGGGGUCCAGAGGUGAGUUUAAUCUGAUUUUUUUUCUCUGUUUCACCAAUGUAUUGUCAUUUCCCCUCUCAUUUUCACUCUUUUCUUCUACGUUUGAUGUGGGUUUUGCUCAAUUUACGUUUGUUGAACUGGGUUUUGCUUGCUUUGUGAUUAUGGAAAUCCUUUGCUCUCGCUAUCUUACGACCAUUGCUUUUGUCAUUAGUUAAUACACCCAGCAAUAUGGCUCAAUUUUGGCUCCUAAAAUGGUUUUCUUCAUGUGUAAUUGUUGUGCACACCAAAUGUUUGGAUAAUUGCUUUCCUCAAUUCAUGUUUGUUAGGGUUUAGGCUUAUGUAUUAAUGAAGAUUUUGCGCCUAUUUGGUAUGAACAACAAGUUGUUGGAUUUUUCU
Molecule: long non-coding RNA, 1111 nt
Organism: Helianthus annuus (common sunflower)
Lineage: Eukaryota; Viridiplantae; Streptophyta; Magnoliopsida; Asterales; Asteraceae
Exons: 3
Source: RefSeq, a predicted model, not a curated record